This 465-nucleotide ribosomal RNA is filed under the name uncultured bacterium. Its description in RNAcentral is "bacterial SSU rRNA". It matches the Rfam family "Bacterial small subunit ribosomal RNA", at positions 338 to 795 of the family's 1533-position model. The record is from RNAcentral.
CCUACGGGGUGCACCAGUGGGGAAUAUUGCACAAUGGGCGCAAGCCUGAUGCAGCCAUGCCGCGUGUGUGAAGAAGGCCUUCGGGUUGUAAAGCACUUUCAGCGGGGAGGAAGGCGUUAAGGUUAAUAACCUUGGCGAUUGACGUUACCCGCAGAAGAAGCACCGGCUAACUCCGUGCCAGCAGCCGCGGUAAUACGGAGGGUGCAAGCGUUAAUCGGAAUUACUGGGCGUAAAGCGCACGCAGGCGGUCUGUCAAGUCGGAUGUGAAAUCCCCGGGCUCAACCUGGGAGCUGCAUUCGAAACUGGCAGGCUAGAGUCUUGUAGAGGGGGGUAGAAUUCCAGGUGUAGCGGUGAAAUGCGUAAAGAUCUGGAGGAAUACCGGUGGCGAAGGCGGCCCCCUGGACAAAGACUGACGCUCAGGUGCGAAAGCGUGGGGAGUAAACAGGAUUAGAUACCCGCGUAGUC